CUAGAGUGCGAUAGGAGGAUGAGCAGGGAAUAUCUCCAGUGUAGCGGGUGAAAAUACGUAGAUAUUAGUGAGGAACACCACGCGGCGAAAGAGCGGGUUUCCUGGGUCUGCACUGAACACUGAGGGAUCGAAAGCUAGGGGAGCGAAAAGGGAUUAGAUACCCCCUGUAGUACUAGCCGCAAAAGAUGACAUCUAGGCGUGGUUUGUAUCGACACCGAGUCGUUCCGUAGCCAACGCGUUAAGUUGUCCGCCUGGGGAGUACGGACGCAAGGGUAAAACUCAAAGGAAUUGACGGGGGCCCGCACAAGCGGUGGAGUAUGUGGUUUAAUUUGAUGCAACGCGAAGAACCUUACCAAGCCUUGACAUCCUAGGAACCCUGAUGAAAAUUAAGGGUGCCUUCGGGAACAGAGAGACAGGUGGUGCAUGGCGGUUGUCAGCUCGUGUCGUGAGAAGUUGGGUUAAGACCCCCAACAAGCGCAACCCCCGUUUUUAGUUGUCAGCACUCAGUGGGGCACUCUAGAAAGAGACUGCCGGUGACAAACCGGAGGAAGGUGGGGAAGACGUCAAGUCAGCAUGGCCCUUAUGCCUUGGGCCACACACGUACUACAAUGCGUCGGGUACAGAGGGUCAGCAAGCCAGCGAGGGGGAGCCAAUCCCAAAAAGCCGAUCGCUCAGUCCGGAUCGCAGUCUGCAACUCGCCUGCGUGAAGUCGGAAUCGCUAGUAAUCACGGAUCAGCAUACUGCGGUGAAUACGUUCCCGGGUCUUGUACACAGCGCCCGUCACACACAUG
This 791-nucleotide ribosomal RNA is filed under the name Leptolyngbya sp. HMOS5. Its description in RNAcentral is "bacterial SSU rRNA". It matches the Rfam family "Bacterial small subunit ribosomal RNA", at positions 641 to 1407 of the family's 1533-position model. The record is from RNAcentral. Lineage: Bacteria; Bacillati; Cyanobacteriota; Cyanophyceae; Leptolyngbyales; Leptolyngbyaceae.